UGAAUGGAUAGAUGUGCUGUUUUGCC
Molecule: non-coding RNA, 26 nt
Filed under: Homo sapiens (human)
Lineage: Eukaryota; Metazoa; Chordata; Mammalia; Primates; Hominidae
Source: RNAcentral